RNAcentral lists this long non-coding RNA (218 nucleotides) under Musa acuminata (dwarf banana). RNAcentral's name for it is "long non-coding RNA (MACU_LNC007809)". Lineage: Eukaryota; Viridiplantae; Streptophyta; Magnoliopsida; Zingiberales; Musaceae. The record is from RNAcentral.
CAAAUACAGAUCUGAGGCAAAAGUGAGAUAAUAAGCAUGACGGGCCCUGACUCCGUGCUUGUAUCAGCAUCUGUGUGAUAUCUUGUUGUUGGGCGACGCUGACGACUAAACUACUUCACUGACAUCAAAGCUGACCUUCCUUACUGCUAUUCUUUCACAACUACCCUUUUGAUCUAGCAUAAUUCUCGCUGCCUAGUAAACCAUUCCACAUCUCUCUG